AGCUGGUUGAACCUGUGGCAGCUCACGGUCCGAAGAUCGAAGAAGAGGAACAGGAACCUGAACCGCCAGAGCCCUUUGAGUACAUUGAUGAUUAAGACAUGAGGAUCACGUCCUCUAAAGAAGACACUAUGCUUGAUAUCAGAAAGACAGACAUGAAGACCUUCCUAUGGAGAUCCGCUGUUCAGUGCAUGCAGCCCCAAUCUGUGCUGAGCUAAAGCUGAUAGUCCGUGUUUUAUGGUUGAAGAACAGAUAUAUGCUAUUUAGUGUACUCUUUCACAAAACCUUGUUUUCAAAUAAAUAUAUUAAAAACUCUU
Meleagris gallopavo (turkey) is the source of this 314-nucleotide non-coding RNA. NCBI's taxonomy places the organism in Eukaryota, Metazoa, Chordata, Aves, Galliformes, Phasianidae. The record is from RefSeq and is a predicted model, not a curated record.